Molecule: ribosomal RNA, 200 nt
Filed under: uncultured bacterium
Lineage: Bacteria
Description: partial 16S ribosomal RNA
Rfam family: Bacterial small subunit ribosomal RNA
Source: RNAcentral
CAGGCUGCAACCCGCCUGUAUGAAGUUGGAAUCGCUAGUAAUCGCGGAUCAGCAUGCCGCGGUGAAUACGUUCCCGGGCCUUGUACACACCGCCCGUCACACCAUGAGAGUCGGGAACACCCGAAGUCCGUAGCCUAACCGCAAGGGGGGCGCGGCCGAAGGUGGGUUCGAUAAUUGGGGUGAAGUCGUAACAAGGUAUC